UGAGUACGAGAUGCUACGGCAUCGAAGCAGUCUAUGUCAUACUUCCAAGAAAAGCUUGCAAUGUCAUAAACAAAUAAUGCCUGUACCAUAACCGACACAGGUGGGUAGGUAGAGUAUACUAAGGGGCGCGAGAUAACUCUCUCUAAGGAACUCGGCAAAAUGACUCCGUAACUUCGGGAGAAGGAGUGCCUUAUUUUUAUAAGGUUGCAAUAACAGGAUCCAAGCAACUGUUUACCAAAAACACAGGUCUCCGCUAAGUCGUAAGACGAUGUAUGGGGGCUGACGCCUGCCCAGUGCCAGAAGGUUAAAGAAGUUGGUUAGCAUUAGCGAAGCUGAUAACUGAAGCCCUGGUGAACGGCGGCCGUAACUAUAACGGUCCUAAGGUAGCGAAAUUCCUUGUCGGGUAAGUUCCGACCCGCACGAAAGGCGUAAUGAUUUGGAUACUGUCUCGGAGAGGGGCUCGGUGAAAUAGACUUGUCUGUGAAGAUGCGGACUACCUGCACCUGGACAGAAAGACCCUAUGAAGCUUUACUGUAACUUGAGAUUGAAAUUGGACUUUAUCUGCGCAGUAUAGGUGGGAGACGUUGAAAAUAUUCUUGCGGGAAUAUUGGAGUCAUCAGUGAGAUACCACUCUUAUAAUGUUAGAUUUCUAACUUUGUAUCAUUAUCUGGUCAAAGAACAGUUUCAGGCGGGCAGUUUGACUGGGGCGGUCGCCUCCCAAACGGUAACGGAGGCGCACAAAGGUUUCCUCUGAACGUGUAGAAAUCGUAUCUAGAGUGUAAAGGCAUAAGGAAGCUUGACUGUGAGACCUACAAGUCGAGCAGGGACGAAAGUCGGUCUUAGUGAUCUGACGGUGCUGAGUGGAAAGGCCGUCACUCAACGGAUAAAAGUUACUCUAAGGAUAACAGGCUGAUCUCCCCCAAGAGUUCACAUCGACGGGGAGGUUUGGCACCUCGAUGUCGGCUCAUCGCAUCCUGGGGCGGUAGUACGUCCCAAGGGUUGGGCUGUUCGCCCAUGAAAGCGGUACGCGAGCUGGGUUCAGAACGUCGUGAGACAGUUCGGUCCAUAUCCGGUGUAGGCGUUAGAAUAUUGAGAGGAGCCUUCUUUAGUACGAGAGGACCGAGAAGGACAUACCUCUGGUGUACCAGUUAUCGUGCCAACGGUAAACGCUGGGUAGCCAUGUAUGGAGAGGAUAACCGCUGAAAGCAUCUAAGUGGGAAGCUCACCUCAAGAUAAGUAUUCUCA
RNAcentral lists this ribosomal RNA (1245 nucleotides) under metagenome. RNAcentral describes it as "bacterial LSU rRNA". It matches the Rfam family "Bacterial large subunit ribosomal RNA", at positions 1564 to 2816 of the family's 2925-position model. The record is from RNAcentral.